Long non-coding RNA from Tarenaya hassleriana, 367 nucleotides. RefSeq lists it as uncharacterized. Lineage: Eukaryota; Viridiplantae; Streptophyta; Magnoliopsida; Brassicales; Cleomaceae. The record is from RefSeq and is a predicted model, not a curated record. The transcript is spliced from 3 exons.
UGUCGUUUCACGGAUGCGAGCUAUAUUGACUGUUCCUCGCACGCGCUCUCUCUGGCGACCGACCGGCGGGCGCUCCGCCGCAAGAUCGCCGGAUAAGUCUCCGUAUCCGCCGCAUCACCACCACGUUGCAUAGUUGAUGCACUUGCAGGUGAUUAGUAAAGCAUAGAGGCCCUUUUUUAUCAAGGAACCCCACAAAGGCACAGCACUAAAUCCACAGAAGAGUGGGUUGCAAGUUUUGUCACUUUCGUUUCACCACUUGGCAAAUGGAAAAUUCGCUGAAAAACUCUCAGUGGUCUCUUGUUCAUCCCAUUCCUAGUUGUUACUUUCUGCUGGACUUCACUUCAACUUCACUCGAUGCAGUGCCAUG